GAUGAACGCUGGCGGCGUGCCUAAUACAUGCAAGUCGAGCGAACAGACGAGGAGCUUGCUCCUUUGACGUUAGCGGCGGACGGGUGAGUAACACGUGGAUAACCUACCUAUAAGACUGGGAUAACUUCGGGAAACCGGAGCUAAUACCGGAUAACAUGUUGAACCGCAUGGUUCAACAGUGAAAGACGGUCUUGCUGUCACUUAUAGAUGGAUCCGCGCCGCAUUAGCUAGUUGGUAAGGUAACGGCUUACCAAGGCAACGAUGCGUAGCCGACCUGAGAGGGUGAUUGGCCACACUGGAACUGAGACACGGUCCAGACUCCUACGGGAGGCAGCAGUAGGGAAUCUUCCGCAAUGGGCGAAAGCCUGACGGAGCAACGCCGCGUGAGUGAAGAAGGUCUUCGGAUCGCAAAACUCUGUUAUUAGGGAAGAACAAAUGUGUAAGUAACUAUGCACGUCUUGACGGUACCUAAUCAGAAAGCCACGGCUAACUACGUG
This 497-nucleotide ribosomal RNA is filed under the name uncultured bacterium. RNAcentral describes it as "partial 16S ribosomal RNA". It matches the Rfam family "Bacterial small subunit ribosomal RNA", at positions 28 to 507 of the family's 1533-position model. The record is from RNAcentral.